UGUAUGAACAGUUUGUUUGGUGCAGGUA
Molecule: non-coding RNA, 28 nt
Filed under: Rattus norvegicus (Norway rat)
Lineage: Eukaryota; Metazoa; Chordata; Mammalia; Rodentia; Muridae
Source: RNAcentral